RNAcentral lists this ribosomal RNA (538 nucleotides) under uncultured bacterium. RNAcentral describes it as "bacterial SSU rRNA". It matches the Rfam family "Bacterial small subunit ribosomal RNA", at positions 1 to 514 of the family's 1533-position model. The record is from RNAcentral.
CGAUUAGAGUUUGAUCCUGGCUCAGGACGAACGCUGGCGGCGUGCCUAAUACAUGCAAGUCGAACGGUCUUUUCUAUGGAAGCUUGCUUCCACUGAGAAGAUAGUGGCGAACGGGUGAGUAACACGUGGGUAACCUGCCCAUAAGAGGGGGAUAACAUCCGGAAACGGGUGCUAAUACCGCAUAGUUUUCUUGAUCGCAUGAUUGAGAAAGGAAAGACGGCCUUUGUGCUGUCGCUUAUGGAUGGACCCGCGGCGUAUUAGUUAGUUGGUGAGGUAACGGCUCACCAAGACGAUGAUACGUAGCCGACCUGAGAGGGUGAUCGGCCACAUUGGGACUGAGACACGGCCCAAACUCCUACGGGAGGCAGCAGUAGGGAAUCUUCCGCAAUGGACGAAAGUCUGACGGAGCAACGCCGCGUGAGUGAAGAAGGUUUUCGGAUCGUAAAACUCUGUUGUCAGAGAAGAACAAGUUGGAGAGUAACUGCUCCAGCCUUGACGGUAUCUGACCAGAAAGCCACGGCUAACUACGUGCCAGCAG